UCCUGCAUAAUACUUUGUUCACACUAAUUUACAACCCAAGCACAAGAAUCUCAAUAAUUACAAUAUAUUAUUACUCUAAUUUUCAUAAACUUAAUAAGUAGAAGUUAUUACCUCUUGUUUGAAGAAUUUGUGCUUCACGUUUGCUUGUAGAUUAACUUUGAAUAUUCUCUUUGAUAACGAUUACUCUAAUCCUUCUAUCCUCUCUAACAGUCAUAUGUGAAGAGAAAGAAAAAACCUACGACUUAAACAAGGUAGAGAGUUGAUUCAUGUUCUAAAAUUACAUAUUGAAGAUAAAUUCAUGUUCAAAAUCAUUACCUGAAAGGGCUUGGUCGAGCAAUUGGAGAAGAAUUACACCACCGCCUACCAUGGCUUCACCGCCGCUCUCCGAAAUCACCUGGGCUACAGCCCACCCCAGCUCAAGUGUGGCUCCGCCCCUGCAUGCAUAUGCUGGAGAUAAUAUUUUUACUCCAGUGGAGAGGGAGUUAGUUUUUGACAUAGUAAGUUGAAUGAGUUCUGAAUAAACACAACAAAAUGAAUUUUACAGAUACAAAUUUAUUUUAAUUUGAUAUGUUUGAAUCAUAUUUGUACAACAGGAUAUGACAGAUUAUGAUGAUGUUAGAUAUUGCUGUUUAGGAGCCGAUGUUUGCUUGGACUGUUGGCCACUAAUGACAGUUGCCAUUAAAGUACUUGAUACUGCCCUGAGAGGUGUUUAUUUCUUGCUAUUGUGAUGUCUGUCAAAGGUUUAAGUAGUUAAAU
RNAcentral lists this long non-coding RNA (756 nucleotides) under Panax ginseng (ginseng). Its description in RNAcentral is "long non-coding RNA (PGIN_LNC003281)". Lineage: Eukaryota; Viridiplantae; Streptophyta; Magnoliopsida; Apiales; Araliaceae. The record is from RNAcentral.